UAUCAUAGUCGGACAUUAACCUCUCCACCGAGAAUAACUUGUCAACUCCGACAUUCGCAUUAACGAUGAACUCGAUCCCUGCGGCAGCCAUCAGGUUCACUCGCCGGUGAACGACCUCCACUUUGUUGGUCUUCAUGUUUGGCACACCGUACAUCAUGAGGCCUCCAAUUCUAUCCACUCUCUCAAACACUGUCACAGAGUGGCCGGCCUUACUGAGCUGAUCAGCGGCUGCUAGGCCUGCCAUACCGCUACCUACAAUCACCACUCUCUUCCUGCAAAGAGACAACGACGUGAGAAACCAGCGACGUGAGUAAACCUUGUCUCUACAUACCCGGUCCGAUAAGCUGGUGGACAAUCCAGCCUUCCUCAAAAGCUUUGUCGAUGAUGGUACACUCUAUCGUCUUAAUGGACAUCGGGUUCUCUAUAAUUCCCAGAACACAGGCACCCUCGCAAGGAGCAAGGCACACACGUCUUAUGAACUCUGGAAAGUUGUUGGUUUCCAGGAGCCUAUCCAAGGCUUCCCGCUAACGACCUUGGUGAACAAGCUCGUUCCAUUCCGGAAUCUUGUUUCCAAUGUCAUCCCGCAGGUACACAGAGAUGAAUAAAUAACAUAGCUGAACUGGACAUACCUGGUUGCAGUUCUAAUGGAGUGCCGCGCGGACUGGGUUUUAAGGAGGUCAUCGCAAGGACCUCGUUCCAAUGGGCCGGGUGAUAUGGAAGUGUUUCUCGUUCAUACGAGAUAAAUCCCGAUGUUUCACUGCGUCCGGAAUUCUUGUUGGCCGCGCUUGGGCUUGAGUCUGACCACAAAGCGAACGUCAGAGUUGCAGGCCAGACAAUCAUUCAAUUCUACCGCGACUACUGCAGCCGCUCCUCCGUUGGUAGCUGCUUCAGCCAUUUUCUUCAUUUCCUGGAAAGCAUCCACAGCGGCCAGUCGCGCUUCCUCCUCCUCUGCCGCUCUUUUCUUGUCCUUCUCCUCGUUGAGAGCUCUUUUGUAGUCGAGAGGGAAAACUUUCACGAAUUCGUAAUUGGCCUGCAGGUGCAUAUGUUUGUUAUGGAAAAUGGUUGGAUAACAUAUAGAAAGAUUGAAAUACCUCCCAGUUAAGCUGGUUAUUUUCCGCGCAUGCGAGGGACUCCAUCGCCACUCCAUUCAAUCCUUUCUUCGCAGAGAGCAGCCACAGCUUUCACAUACAGUGCGUGCUCCUGUCGGCAGCAAAUCCCAUUCAAAAACCAAUCGAAACUAAAGAACAAUCAAACCACGUACUUGUUCCAACACUCUGGCUGCCAAGUCUUGCGGCGUGUCCGUCUCUAGAACAGGAACUUCUCGCUGCGCAAGGAUGCUCCCAUUCUCAUCCACGACAUGGAUCGUUGCGCUUGAGACACUGUUACAAAGUUGUUGCAAGCAUGAAAGAUAGAAGUUACCGAGCGCCGGCAGCCUCGUGGACUUGAUUCCGUAGAAACCUUUGCCUCCAAAUGCCGGGAGGAGCGCGGGGUGAAUGUUGAGGAUGCAGCACGAAAUCCACUCCUUGAUGCCUGCGAAAGAUCGAUCACAGAUAAAGAUAAAUCUUCUAGCGCUUUUAGAAAAAAAGCAUGAAACCAACCUCAGAAUUUCCACGAGCUUGUUUGGAGAGACUCCAUCUGGAGCGAACUUUGUUCUCGGAUAAUCGCCAGGGAAAUCCCGUGCUCUCGAGCGUCCUCGCAAGCCAUGCAUUCUAAAAUCCAAGACAAAAGAAUGGGAAGAACUAAACUCUAGCUGGCUGGAAUGCUAUGGAUUCUAGCCUUGGAGAAAAACCAAGAAGAACUAACCUCGAGAAUCGAUCGUCGCUCUGUGGAUGCUCCGAAAGUUUGAUCCGCCGCCGGAUACCAGGCUUCCUCCUCAUCGCGGGAUCGCCUUGCGCUUCUCUGAGGCAGCAGCAAUGGGAAUCCCAGCUCCGUGGUUGAGGAAAGAAAUGCCGCUGCGCGAUUGGAACUGGAGCACAUAAUGCAAAAGAUCGGGGAGGCUGCUUGGAUCGCUUAGGAUUUGAAGGUCGCGUGUUCGAUCCACGCUCACCGCUUAAGCUUUGUGAAAAACAAUGGUGACUUAAAUCAAACCUCGGGCGGCGUUAUUGGAUAACAAGGAAGGGUCUCAAGAAAUUGCGCAAGGCAGGUAGCGAGUAUGACAAACUCAGCAGGUUUUCCAAGGAGAAGAGGCUGGUGGGAUCCAGACUUGGCCAUUUGCUGGGUUUGCUCUACAUCCACCAGCACUGGGAUCUCUUCCAAGAUUUCAUCUCCGAAGAGGUUUUCCAGACUUCCAUGCAGCCCUCAACUCGCUCGACGUUUCCUGGACUCAGGUAACAGGUUUGGGGUGGUUUUAUGGUGGGAGCUGAACUGACUCAUGUUUCUGUAGAAGAUGCGACUCAAAGGAUGGCUGUCAGCGAUGCUUUGCUGUUUGACCGCUUUGCUCAGCGCAAAACGGUGAGUGUUUCCUUCCUCCUUUUGUUUCUGUUUUAUGUCUCUUACCAGUUCAUGUAGAUGGAUCUUUCAAGUGAAAAGUUUGGUGAACGAGCUCAACCCGUUUAUGAGGCCCUCUCAUAUGAUAUAGCAGUCAUCACCAAGCUACGGCAAACUCAGCAACAGCUGGAGCUGCUGCUCUGCAGCAUCAAGUGGGAACCGUUUAUCGAGGACUUGCUUGUGCCUUGCCUUCUUCCAGACGUUCUGACACACCGGGAGAAAGUGGAAGACGCGGUCGCGCAUGCUCGGCUCAUGUUGAUAGAAGCAGACGCGAAUAUUUUCUAUGGCUGCUCCUUCAACUGUAAGUAUGCCGCGCUUUGGUUUAUCAUUAUCUUCUGUGUAUGCUGAACUCAAACCAGCAGCAAAGGCUCGGGACUGAGAAACAAAAGCUCCAUGACAGCAGCCAGCUACUCUGGUAUAGCUACUCAGCUACCCAGUUUCCUGCUUGUCAUCUUCGUCUUGCUUUCCUUGCGUACAGGCACAUGCUUCGCAAUCCUUCUCCCAUAGACAAGUUGUUCAGGUGCUUUUACCUUGAGGCAGUGCUACAUUCAACGACGUAUGUCUCCCGUUUUCCUUUCUUAUCUUUGUGAAUUCGCUUAAAUAUUUGUGUCCAGGGCCGGGGGGGUCAAAGUGCUGACCCCGGAAGACUAUCCGGACACAGUCCCUCCUGAGUUUCAAGAGGACAUUUCUGAAAAAGAUCUGCGCGUGUUUCGCAUCAUUCCUCAUGAAACUUCGUUCGGGUAUGUAUACUAUGCAAGUGCAUUUGAAUCUCUCAUCUCCUUGAUCUGGUGAUCUUGCGCUUUCUGUCUCAGCUCAAAGUCGAACGUGGUUUUUGCAAGACUGUGCGACUUUGACCUCAAGAGCAUCCUGUUGGGGGAGCCCGUGGCCAGGGAAAGGGUGUGCCAAGCUCAUAUACUUAUCGACAAGGUCUGGCCAACUCCAAAGGAGCUGUACGAGUGUCGCUAGAAAAGCCAACAAAACUGUGACAAAAAAAAUUGCACCUGUCAGCGAGAAUACCUGGUCGAGCUGGGACUGAGGCUGCACAUUUGGAGGUCCGCUAGAGGCAUCAAUCACCCAUUCCUAGCUGACCUGCAAAAUCCAUGGGAAAAGCAUGAUCUCGAUCUCUACGUGGAGUUUGCAGCAAAGACUUGGUCCAGCUUCUUUCUCUUAUUUCUCCUUUCCAUGACAGCAGUGGGUGGAGAGCAACAUCACAAUGUUGGAACUUGAAAGAUGCCGUUAGAGCUCAUCCUCGCAGUCUAUUUGGCGAUCAAGAAGCCAGGUUUGUGUGUGCACUAUCCCCUCCCCCCUCUCUCUCUCUCUCUCUCUCUCGUGUCUCGUGUGAUGAUUUAAUCGGGAGUGCCUACCACACCUUACAGCCUUUAUUAAGUUACAUAUAGCUUUCAAAGAUAUAUAGAAUGCACAACAUCUGCAAACUUGAAGAUGUUCCUAGACAAAAAUUAUUGAUACUUGUAGAACUAACGCAAUUGACAGUUGUGGUGGUUGCUGACGAUUGUUUGAGCUAAGCACACAGGCAUCUUACGAUUUGAAAUACUGCGCACAAGCGGGGCACAUGAACGGUACCUGAGUGACACAGUUGACUUCGUUUCUACGUUCUUCCCCUGCUUCUUCGACUAGAUCUGCCCCCUGUUCUGGAUCCACCUCCGGUGCUGGAUUGUAGUGGACACAAGGCUGGUGGUACCACAGGUCACAAACGUCACACUGCACCCAGGGAGCAUCGCCUCUAUCUUCCCAACAGUCGGAGCAGCUUUGCAAAUCCUGUGACAGACGAGAGUUCCAUUAAAGAGGAAAAGGAACAAGAAAACAAAAGACAGCAUACCGUUCUGGCUGUGUUUUUCCUGAGCUCGUCCAGCCUCGCAUCAAUGCUCGAAAGCUGUACACUGAAGAAGCUGAAAGGCAUCACGACGACAUAAUACUCGAGGCCAGGAUGGACUCUAGAUGUUGCUCGGUACGAGACCCACCUGUCCGUGUAAAUCACCCACACAAGCACCUUGAUCCGCUUGUCGCCAACAAACAGUUCCUCAGCCUUCUUCGCCGUCUUCUUGUGAUGAGUGAUGGCGUUCUUGGCGACAGAAAAAUGGAGAGCCACGAUGAAGUUUUCGUCUUCCAAAUAGAUGUCAAUGCCAGCGUGGUUAAAGUCGUAUGGGACAUGCGCUGUUCCUUCAACGGAGAGCAGCUUUCCGGACAUUGGUCCAUGGAAGUUGAGGACGUGCUUCACUGUUAUGUGUGCCCUUUUGCCUUGUGCGUAAUAAAAGCCUUGAGUCAUAAACUUUGUGCUGAGGAUUCCUGCCAUCUCGGCAUUCCAGCCGAUGCGAGCCAUGUUGUCGUCCUUAGCAACGGCUUGUACCCAGAAGGUGACCUGCUUCCGCUGCUCAUCGAGGUCAUCCUCGCGCAUGAGUCCAGCUAAGGUGCUAAGCGCAUAGGAAUGAAAAUGAGGGGUGAGAGCCUCGAGCGUUCCAUCUUUGCCCACGUAGAAGCACUUGGGCUCUAGCAGCAGAGGAAGCCUUGGAACUGUUUCUGUGCCCGUCAACUCUUUCUGGAGCUGCUCUCGAACGUUCCCUCCCAGGUGGCGCUGGAUGAACGUAUGUAUAUCUGCCUCAAAUGAUAUGAUGCACUGGUGGAACACUUCCAUGUCUGUGUCGAAUUGAUCCAGCAGCCUUGGAACUCGACCUGUUUUAGACAGAUCGACGCGCUGGAACUGAAAGAGGUUGAGAUAGGAUGCCAGUUCUUCGUCCUACAAAGCACACACAUCUCAGAAUGUGAAGAACAAGACGCCUAAGAACUUACAUUCAGUCCUCCAACAACCAGCUUGUACUGCGGGGCCUUGGGAUGACGAAGGACUUGCGUCCAUACACUUGAAAUUGAAACACAAAAGACGACGACGCAAUAUUCGAGAAGCCUGCAGAGAGAUUGUAGCCCCGGACUAUCUCUCGCCAACCUGUUGCCGUCAUCAACGACAAUGGUCAGGUCCACAUUUAUCAUCCUCUUCAAGAAGUUUUCCACGUCGAAGAUCGAUACUUGGCCCGCCUCUAUCGCUUCGAGCUCCUGCAAGGCAGCGUUGUCGUCCACAAAAGCCUGAAACAGCCCAUCCCAGAGCGUAUUCUCCGGGAAAAAAGCCAUUUUAACUCCAUCGACCAGCAUAAUCCGACGCGGCCGAGACGAGGAGCCGAUCCUGUCGCGCGCGAACUUGCCAUAGAGGUAGAGCACAGACGCUGCGACGCUGCAACUCUUGCCAGCGCCCGGGGUGCCCGUUAUGUACCUGAAACCGUAAAUACCGUAAGGACGAAGCUGCUUGCGACCGCGCUUUCCUGGAGCCGAGACUAUUAUCGAUUCUGGGAGUUUGACCUCGGGGCGCUCCUCCUCUAUGAAAUCGAUGAGCUCCUUGGUGAGAGGCCUGCCCAUGUAAUCAAACGUCGUCCGGUGCGAGAAAUGGUAGACUUCCAUAACCUUGGUCGGAUCCUGAAGAUCGGCUUCAGUGAGCUGGGCGGAGAAAGCCAUGAGCAGCCCAUGGAUCCUCUCCGCAUCCUCACGACGGACAUCCACAACCCUCUGGCGCUUGACACCGCCGCCGUCUUCCAUCCAAAAACCCUAAUGGUUGCAAAACAAUGUACUAAAGGAAUAUAUGUGAAUUUUGGCAAGUUCAACUGUUAGACUUAGAGGUGAGCACCCUCUGGACUAGAGCUUUUGCUAUGAAAUUAAAAAGAUAUCUUAAGAAUGGAGGUAAUAAUCUUAUAUUACUUUAAACUUAUUCGAAUCUAAGUUGGCAGUACUAUACAAGUGUUCUUAAUAUAUAUUAUUCACUGUUAUAAUUUUCUCCCCAUCUGAGUUGGCCAUGGUGUGUGAGCUAUGGUCCUCACCACUAUCUCUAGGAAGCUACCUCUCAAUGUUUGUGACCCAGAUUAUUUACCUUGAGAGCUAUUGAGAAUGCUGAAGCUGUGCUUAUAGUUUGGAAAUAUAAACUAUGGGUGCAACACAAUCAUUUUAUGUCAAAUCCAACAUAGCACUGCCACGAUUGAGUUGCUUUGUCUAGGACAAACAAACUCACUCUUAUUGGCCACUUCACUACUGGAUAUUCUGCGACAUGGCUUAUUAUCGCCAGGUUAUUGUUUUGCAUCUUCAUUUCUCUUUCUUGUUUUUUCUUCUUUCAGUCUCUGGGAGGCAUAUGAAUUCCCUUUCUCUUUAGGUGAUCUACAAAAUGAUAUAGGAUUGUAAUAGUUAUCUUUGCCACCACUUAGGAUUUACAUUCCCUCCUCCUUUUAUGUCCAUUGCAAUCCUAGACCUUUAGUCAUAAGUUCCACUUGUUUCCUCUUGAAAGGAAUCUCCAUUCCUUAACCAGAAUGCCAGUAGGUAUGGAUCUCUAUGUUGCUUUGUUUAUCCUAAAUGAUCAUCCACCAGAGCUGCUGGCAACGAUCAAAUGGAAAGUUCCAAGUGAUAAUGCUGGCCUGGCUGCGUGAACGAUCAAAGAUCGUAGAUCAGGUUUCGCCACUCUCCCUAUGUCCUCACCGUCUUUGCCCGAUUUCUCCCAAACCAAAAGAAGCAAGUCUUUCCUUGUGGGAUUUGAUUGAUAAGUUGGAGGAAAGCGAAGUUGCUGCUGGUGCUAUUGUUCUUCAUUUGAAUCGUCUGUGUUGAUAAGGCGCCAUCAAAUGCCAGCUAAUAUCCGGUUUAGAACUAAUCUGAAAAUACACUAAAUAUAAUUUUUGAUUAGAACCACUCCUUUAAUUAGGAUAAAAACCAACCCAACAAAAUUUACAACAGGCAAAAUUUGGCUGUCCAUUUUAUAUCAACAUCCCCAUCUUCUUCCGAGCAGCCUUGAGCUCCUCGCCAACCUUGGAAGUGUCUUCCAUCAGAAACUUGUCAAUCUGUGCUGCCGCUUGCCUCCCUUCGGCAAUCGCCCACACAACCAGCGAUUGUCCUCUUCGACAGUCACCAGCGGCAAAGACACCCUUGACAUUUGUAGCAAAUUUGCCAUACUCUGCUUUAAAUGUGGUUGCUGCAUCAUUGGUAGCCACUUUGAGCUUCUCAGCUACGUCCUGGAAAGGAGAAGCGUCAGCUGGAAUGAAAAGAAAAGAAGAACUUAGCUCAUUUCACCUGUUCUGGUCCCACGAAUCCCAUGGCCAAGAGCACCAAAUCUGCCUCUAUUAUCUCUUCCGACCCUUCGAUUUCCUCCCUCUGGAAUCUCCCACUCGCGUCCUUAAACCACCGCACCCGUUUGAGCACCAAGCCGCUGACACGGUUAUCACCAUCGGUGAUAAACUUCUUUGUGGUCACCUCAUACGACCUGGGAUCACUACCAAACUUCUCCUUUGCCUCGGCAUGCCCGUAAUCAACGCGGAAAAUUCGUGGCCACUGCAACAAUCGCGAGCCGUAAGGAACACUCCAACACAGAGACGAAAAGACAAGAAACUCUUACCUGUGGCCAAGGAUUCCCCGGUGCACGAGUUGCAGGAGGCUGAGGAAGUAGCUCCAGAUUUACAACGCUCUUGCAGCCGUGGCGGACCGCAGUACCGAUGCAAUCUGUGCCUGUAUCGCCUCCUCCUAUCACCACCACCUUCUUGUCUUUGGCGGAUAUGUAGUUGUUGUCCUUGAGCCCCGAAUCCAGCAAACUCUUGGUAUUCGCGUGAAGGAACUCCAUGGCAAAAUGUAUGCCUUCAUAUUCUCGGCCUUCUACUUUAAGGUCCCUGAAGAAAAACAAAUAAAAAGAUGGUUAGACCUAGAAACAAGUGAAGAGUUCCAUACCUGGGCUUAGUAGCGCCACAAGCAAGUAGUAAGCUAUCAUAGUCGGACAUUAACCUCUCCACCGAGAAUAACUUGUCAACUCCGACGUUCGCAUUAACGAUGAACUCGAUCCCUUCGGCAGCCAUCAGGUUCACUCGCCGUUGAACGACCUCCACUUUGUCGGUCUUCAUGUUCGGUACACCGUACAUCAUGAGGCCUCCAAUUCUAUCCGCUCGCUCAAACACUGUCACGGAGUGGCCGGCCUUAUUGAGC
This 8493-nucleotide long non-coding RNA is filed under the name Selaginella moellendorffii. RNAcentral's name for it is "long non-coding RNA (SMOE_LNC000312)". The record is from RNAcentral. Lineage: Eukaryota; Viridiplantae; Streptophyta; Lycopodiopsida; Selaginellales; Selaginellaceae.